AAACCAGCACCUCAAGUGGUCAGGAUGAUUAUUGGACCUAAAGCAUCCGUAGCCGGCUCUGUAAGUUUUCGGUUAAAUCUGUACGCUUAACGUACAGGCUGCCGGGAAUACUGCAGAGCUAGGGAGUGGGAGAGGUAGACGGUACUCGGGAGGAAGUGGUAAAAUGCUUUGAUCUCUCGAUGACCACCUGUGGCGAAGGCGGUCUACCAGAACACGUCCGACGGUGAGGGAUGAAAGCUGGGGGAGCAAACCGGAUUAGAAACCCCGGUAGUCC
This 274-nucleotide ribosomal RNA is filed under the name uncultured bacterium. RNAcentral describes it as "partial 16S ribosomal RNA". It matches the Rfam family "Archaeal small subunit ribosomal RNA", at positions 473 to 747 of the family's 1478-position model. The record is from RNAcentral.